Molecule: non-coding RNA, 24 nt
Filed under: Mus musculus (house mouse)
Lineage: Eukaryota; Metazoa; Chordata; Mammalia; Rodentia; Muridae
Source: RNAcentral
UGAUGAACCGGGUUACUUGGAAGU